UGAAAUGGUCUGUUAGACUACUCAUAAACAUAAAGGAGGAAUCCCAAAUGGUGACCCUAGCCGCCUGGCUGUUGGGACUAAUAACUAGUAAACUACUAGGGAACACAAAAAAACAAUGCAUUAAUAUCCAUUAUUAAAAAAACAAAAGAAGACUAAACAUGUUAAGUUUUUUUUUAAUGGCUUUAAUGUUUGUGUUGUUUAAAAAAUAAAAGAAAUAAACGAAAAAAGAAAAUGGUGAGAUUCAUCGUCCUCCCUCCCUCUCAACCUUACUCACAGAAUCGCUCUCUCAACCUCACUCUCAGCAAAUCUCUCUCUCGCUCUCAACUUCUUGUUUCUCUCAAUCAACAUCGCUCAUCCCCAACCUUCACUCUCAACAAAUCUCUCUCUCGCCCAAACAGCGUGAAAGUUUGAAAGAAAGCUCACCUUUGCGGUGAAUCGGUAGCUCAGGUAACGACCGAACCCUCUCCCUUCGCCUCUUCCACACUGAUUUCCUUUUGAUUUUAGGAUAGGGUUUUCUUGUUUUGAAUUUUUUCACUUCCGCCUCUCUAAUUUUUCGUCUCUACAAUUCUUAGGUUUUUUGCCUUAUUUGAAGUUUUCGCCGUUAAUUAUUCAUUUUAUCUCUCACUUGAUUUCCUCUCUUCUCCUUUUAUAUUUUGCCAGAUUGGGUUUCAGUUUUGGUAUGGUGCGAAUUCAAGAAUAUCUCUGCAACCACUUUUUUGAUGUGCUCAGAAUCGGAUUGGUCUCUUUGAUGUUUGGAUUUCGGAACGGUAACCUGAACUCAAGCUUUCUCCCUCUGUUUUGUCUUAAUGCCAAUUUGGGAAUUUUCUUGAAAUUUAACUGCCUUGCUGUUUUACUUUUACUGCAGUGAAUUCGGAGUGGGUAUACACUGAUGUAAUGCAAGUAAUAGUUGAUUCCUUAAGCUUGGUGUUCUUGUCAUGAAUCAAAGGGAUUAACUUAGCAAGCCACAAUUUAGUAUGCCAAUAUCAGCAGCAACAACAUAAUGAUAAUCAGUAUCACUUUGCUGAUUGACUCUUUGUUCAUUAGAAUUUGGACUCUCUGAUUCAUUUGAAGCUAGGAGAAAGAAUCUUCAGUCGUUGCGAGCCCCCACUUCUUUCAAGCUCCUUAUACUCCUCAAUCAUAUGAUGAAGAUCCUCAUCAGAACAAACAGAAAUAAGAGCAUCGAGAUCCUCUCCAGGAAGCUGGUAUUUGAUAGUGUGAGUUUGAUUGCAAAUAUUAGAUGUCUCCCUUGUAAGUUCCUCAUGUGUGAUGUUUUUCCUGAUCGAUAUAAUCCGCGUCUCUCCCCCCACAUAUCUGAGUUAUUUUUGUGCGUAUUAUGCAGGUUUAUUUUGGAAAUGAAGAAUGGUUUCCUCUUGGCAAGCCUGGCUGCUUCAAAGACAGUGGGGGAGAUAGCCAACUGAUGGUUCAGAUGGUUAUCCGGCAAUGUACCAUACUCUUGCAGGUGGUUACAGGAUGCUUGUUUGACAUCUGUGUCGUGACUGUCCGCCACUAGUUCAAAGCUAUGCGGCGAUUCAGUAUUAGGCAAUGAUUCAGGUUGAGGCAUUUCAAGGUGAGUAUUGUCUGCAUCACCAUCUGAUUUAAUGCGUGUAAUUAAUGAAUUGGGCAUAACUGUUGUACGGUUUGGUUUGUUAUUCAUAGGUUUUGGUUGCGUUUGUUAUGUUUUGUAGGGGCCUUGGCUUUGAUAUGAAAGCUUUCAUGAAGCAGGUAACAGAAAAUAAUUACCUAUCAUUUUGUAAUAAUGGACACUGUAUUGUGCAUCCGUUCAAAGAAACUGGUGCAGAAUUGCAGGAUAUUGAUGUAACCCUUAGAGUUGUUGGAGCUGCAGCGGUUAAAUCACUAGACGGCAUCGCAUUUGACAGGAAAAUUAACAAUGGCAGCAAUGUAUUCUUUCUCAAUCCUCAAUGCUUCAACGGUUGUCCACAAGAGAUCGCCGGCAGUGCAAGCUUCAAAGACUUUCUACUGUGAGAGCUAAAUGUUCUUCAAGGCUAAAUUCAAACGACCCAUCACUUAAAACAAAAGGUAAUCCUUCUCUUCAACCACUGUUUGUCUUUCACAAUAGUUUCCCGACCCAAAAGUGACUUUAAACCGUUCAUGAAGUUCUUUGAUCGACAACUUGUCUAAACAUAUUUCUCCGUCUGUCAUGGAAAAAUCAGGCUUUAAAGGGGAAUAGACGGCAGAAGCAGAUGAUCCACUUCUAUUACUCCUUCUGAAGGUCUGGAACACUGAUCAAUACUCCCAGAUUGGUUACUAUGACAAUAAUUUAAACUCGAUGCUAUAGAAGGUGCUUCUUGGUCUUUCUCAAUUAUGACAGGAAAUUUAUCAGCAGAACACUGGCUAUCUAUUUGUACAUGAGAACGAAUGGGUGAUCGAGACGACAAGCGAAGUUUCUCUUCCUGUUUAACCUUCUGCAGCAUCUGAAACUUUGCAUUUAGCUUCCCCAAAUCUGCCUCUGCAGUGCCUAAUUGUGAAACGCCUUCCGAGCACUCCAACCGAAGCUUCCCAGAAGAUGAUCUUUCGAUUGAUAUGCAUUCCAAACUCUGUCCAGUGUCUGCAGCAACACGCAUUUCACUGUUUUCAUAUUCAAGAAAAAUCCUCCACCUCCAUUACUUCAUCAUCCCUGUUGUAACAAAAACACCAUUUUCUUUAUUUCAGGUACAUGCUGAGCUGCCUCUUCUGCCACCGCAAGAGCCCUUUCUAUAGCACAUUUUGAGUUCUCUAUGAUGGAUGAUAUUGUACUCUCAGUUGCAUCCUUAAUUUGCUUUUUAAUCAGAUGAGCUGCUUCAGCAGUAGUGGUUUCAACAGGUGAAAUUCUGAGUUAAGCAUCUUCUAGUAUGUGAGAAGUUGCCUGCUGGAAAGCAAACUCCGCUAACUUUUCAACCUGCACUGCAAUAUCAACAGCAUCUUGUUUGGCAAGGACCAACUUAAAUUACAGAGAGAACUUCUCUUCAACAGAUUCCUCCAGAUUUUCUCGAAAAAGAUUUGGCAGACUCGUGCUCAGGUAUAGCUACUUCUUUGUUAUGUACCAAGGCAACAAUGUAUUCCUGGUUUUUGUGCUACAGUGAUCCUCCUUUUCUGAAUAUCAUCAGUUGGCUAAUGAUGAUCCCGAUGCAAUAACACAUCACUGAUCUCGCAUGUUUUCUUUGUAGUGCAGUCAUUGUCCUGAUGCAUUUCCUCCACAAUUUUGUGGAAUAGAUUCAAAAAGCAAUGGCAGCAUCUGUGAGUUCAUUGAUGAUUCUAGCAACAUUGAAAUCGGCAAUGACAUCGGCGUCCGUGGUGGCCUGUCUCUGAGGCUUCCUAAUCAAAGAUGUGGAGGUGUCUUAAAGUGAUCAAUUUUGAUACAACCUUUGUAGAAAGCUCCAUUUUUUCAUUAGGUCUCAAUGUUAGUGUUUGUAACAAAACUGCUUAAGGAUUUGUAAAGACUUCCCGGUCCUUUACAGUUUGACAAGUUAAAAUAUCUUAAAUGUUUCAAUUUUCUAAUUGAUCUAGAAAACUUGCUUAAAGAACAAUCCGUCAGCUUCAAGACACGCAGGUGUUUGAAUUUUGAAAUGAUUGACAAUUUAUCCUCAUUGAAUUUUUCCUCAUUGGAAGACAGUAAAAUCAAAGUUCGCAGCCUACUUCCAUUUAAUGAGUCCAACAAAUGAAUUGCCUUGGAUUCCAAUGAUACAUGCAUGAGUUUUGUACACGGCUUUUUGUCUCACUGUCUAAGUAACAACAACAUUGCCAGCUACUUGCAUUUCAAGAUCAUGCAUUAAAUCAUGCAUUUCGAAACUAACUAUAUCACCAUCUUCACCCACUUUUGCAUCUUGGCAAAUGACCUCAUCAAGAAAAACUUUACAAAUUCUUCACCUGUGUCUUCCACGAGUUGCUUUUCAUCCGAGCAUCUUCCAAUGAAAAUAUUGCAUACUGCAACAUUCAUUACUAACCAGUGACUUGCUGAAUCUUGCAUGCUAAUAUUUGUAGGAGGCACCAUAUUUUUAACAAUGAGGGGAGAUUGGUUAUUAGACCUUUCAAAGACAGACAAAUUGGAUUCCUGUACCGAGUGAGAUGUACUAUUUUGAUUUUGAAAUGAGCUAUGGAUGGAAAAUGGAUCAUGUUUGGUUAUGAAAUGGAUAUGGAUUUUAGAAAUAAUCCAAGACUAAUCAAAAUGUCAAUUAAAAAAUCAAAAAAGCCAAAUUAAAACCAAUUAAAAUCAAAUUAAUCUAUAAUUUGUUAAAAUUACUUUGAUGUCAAAUUCUAACAUUUAUUUGGAAAUUAAAAAUCAAUUAGAAUUUGAAUCAUUAGUAAAACACAAUUAAGAUUAAAUUGAAAUUUGGAAUUAGACUUAAUUUGAAAUUAAAAUUGAAAAAAAAUAAAAAAGUCAAAUAUUUAGAAUCCAUUUCAUAAUCAAAACACCAUGAUAAAGAAAAACUAAAUAAUGCCCAAUGUUUAUAAAACAAAUAUGGAUUUGGGAAUGGAUGAUUGCCUUUGGUCAUGAAUGUAUGCAAAUGAACUUUAGGCCAUGUGCCAAAAUAAUAAAAAAAUGAAAAAAAUUCAGGACCAAAAUCGGGGUAUGACAGUUGCCCCUAUUUAAGUAUCUUCAACUAGAGAAUAUGAAGCAGGACACUCUUCAUAUGAUCAUAGUGGGAGAUGGUUAAAUACUAAGAAGACCCGGAUUUUGAUCCUGAAUCCCUAUGACAUGAUGUGAUAUGAUAUGAUAUGAUAUGAUAUGCAUGGAUGCAUGGAUGCAUGAUUUUUUUUUUAUCUGCUAGGGGUAUAGUGAACCCUUAACAGGAGAUGUUACUAGACAAACCAAACCUGUGGGGAAUGCUGAUGGUCCACAGGGAGACAGACAAAUGGUAAAAAAACAAACUUGCUGGGGAAGACAAAACCUGUUGGAGAAUCAGACACAUACCGGGGAGUACUCAAAGUGAAAGUUGAUAAACAACAUUCAGAGUACAAGAGAUUUCGAUAGUAAGUUCACAUAUGACUUACUAGACCCGAAUAAGAAAGGAAAAUGUCACAACAGGUUCAAAUAUGACCUGGCAAUACUGGAAUAAAACACAACAAACAGGUUCAUAUAUGACCCGACAAUGCUGGGAGAAUAUCAAGAAGUUCUAACGGCAAGUUUAGAUAUGACCUAACAAACUCA
This 5146-nucleotide long non-coding RNA is filed under the name Lathyrus oleraceus (garden pea). RNAcentral's name for it is "Pisum sativum (pea) long non-coding RNA (PSAT_LNC030051)". Lineage: Eukaryota; Viridiplantae; Streptophyta; Magnoliopsida; Fabales; Fabaceae. The record is from RNAcentral.